GUUUUCAAAAAUUUAGUUAAUACUAACUCACGAAGGACAUGGAGCUAAUUACAUUGUAAUUUUGGUUACUAAAUUACGUGUAGCAACAUGUAAAAAAUAGGUGUAAUUAGUGGUGAUAGGCUAAUCAAUAUGUCAGAUAUCUUGAUCCAUAGGAAAAAUAUUUAGUAUUCAAUUAGACUAGAAAUGGCUAGGUUUCUAGUUAACAUUAAAAUUAAUGUCCGAAGCAUCGGUUUUUGUAAAUAAUACUGUUUUUAUUCUCUUAUAACACUAUAUUGAUAAUUUAUGGAUUAUACUACGGCGUUUUUCUUAUUUAUUAAGAAAGAUUGUUAAUGAAAAUAUUAGUAUUAUCCAUAAAUUUUAAGAAGGAACUCGGCAAAUCUUUGCUCAACUGUUUAACAAAAACAUAGCUAAAUGAAAUUACGUUUGGUUUUUUCUGCUCAAUGAAUAAUUUAAAUAGCCGCAGUA
This 465-nucleotide ribosomal RNA is filed under the name Wollastonaria oxytropis. RNAcentral's name for it is "partial large subunit ribosomal RNA". Lineage: Eukaryota; Metazoa; Mollusca; Gastropoda; Stylommatophora; Geomitridae. The record is from RNAcentral.